CUACACAUGCAAGUCGAACGGUAACAGGAAGCAGCUUGCUGCUUUGCUGACGAGUGGCGGACGGGUGAGUAAUGUCUGGGAAACUGCCUGAUGGAGGGGGAUAACUACUGGAAACGGUAGCUAAUACCGCAUAACGUCGCAAGACCAAAGAGGGGGACCUUCGGGCCUCUUGCCAUCGGAUGUGCCCAGAUGGGAUUAGCUAGUAGGUGGGGUAACGGCUCACCUAGGCGACGAUCCCUAGCUGGUCUGAGAGGAUGACCAGCCACACUGGAACUGAGACACGGUCCAGACUCCUACGGGAGGCAGCAGUGGGGAAUAUUGCACAAUGGGCGCAAGCCUGAUGCAGCCAUGCCGCGUGUAUGAAGAAGGCCUUCGGGUUGUAAAGUACUUUCAGCGGGGAGGAAGGUGUUGAGGUUAAUAACCUCAGCAAUUGACGUUACCCGCAGAAGGAGCACCGGCUAACUCCGUGCCAGCAGCCGCGGUAAUACGGAGGGUGCAAGCGUUAAUCGGAAUUACUGGGCGUAAAGCGCGCGCAGGCGGUCUGUCAAGUCGGAUGUGAAAUCCCCGGGCUCAACCUGGGAACUGCAUUCGAAACUGGCAGGCUAGAGUCUUGUAGAGGGGGGUAGAAUUCCAGGUGUAGCGGUGAAAUGCGUAGAGAUCUGGAGGAAUACCGGUGGCGAAGGCGGCCCCCUGGACAAAGACUGACGCUCAGGU
Molecule: ribosomal RNA, 714 nt
Filed under: uncultured bacterium
Lineage: Bacteria
Description: bacterial SSU rRNA
Rfam family: Bacterial small subunit ribosomal RNA
Source: RNAcentral